GUAGCUCAGCUUGGUAGAGCACUUGGUUUGGGACCAAGGGGUCGCAGGUUCGAAUCCUGUC
Molecule: transfer RNA, 61 nt
Filed under: Enterococcus faecalis
Lineage: Bacteria; Bacillati; Bacillota; Bacilli; Lactobacillales; Enterococcaceae
Description: tRNA-Pro
Rfam family: tRNA
About the family: Transfer RNA (tRNA) molecules are approximately 80 nucleotides in length. Their secondary structure includes four short double-helical elements and three loops (D, anti-codon, and T loops).
Source: RNAcentral